RNAcentral lists this non-coding RNA (92 nucleotides) under Acetohalobium arabaticum. RNAcentral's name for it is "c-di-GMP sequence". It matches the Rfam family "c-di-GMP-I riboswitch aptamer". Rfam says of the family: GEMM was predicted in a large-scale screen for bacterial structured RNA regulatory elements. Genes associated with GEMM are involved in a diverse array of functions, including chemotaxis regulation, signal transduction, secretion and chitin. The record is from RNAcentral. Lineage: Bacteria; Bacillati; Bacillota; Clostridia; Halanaerobiales; Halobacteroidaceae. RNAcentral also lists the same sequence under 1 other name.
AACUAGAAAGGGCACACUUAUCGAAAGGUAAGGCCGCAAAGCUUCAAAUCUACAGUGCAGUAUAAAGGCACUAUGAUAGUUGGGCUACCACA